AGAAGCACCGGCUAACUCCGUGCCAGCAGCCGCGGUAAUACGGAGGGUGCAAGCGUUAAUCGGAAUUACUGGGCGUAAAGCGCACGCAGGCGGUUUGUUAAGUCAGAUGUGAAAUCCCCGGGCUCAACCUGGGAACUGCAUCUGAUACUGGCAAGCUUGAGUCUCGUAGAGGGGGGUAGAAUUCCAGGUGUAGCGGUGAAAUGCGUAGAGAUC
Molecule: ribosomal RNA, 213 nt
Filed under: Escherichia coli
Lineage: Bacteria; Pseudomonadati; Pseudomonadota; Gammaproteobacteria; Enterobacterales; Enterobacteriaceae
Description: partial 16S ribosomal RNA
Rfam family: Bacterial small subunit ribosomal RNA
Source: RNAcentral